This is a non-coding RNA of Pelobates cultripes (western spadefoot toad), 201 nucleotides long. The record is from the annotation of a GenBank genome assembly. NCBI's taxonomy places the organism in Eukaryota, Metazoa, Chordata, Amphibia, Anura, Pelobatidae.
ACUAAGAGCACUUGUUGGAAUUUGUUUUAAGCGCCUUUUAACACAGAUUAUUUUGUAAAUUCCCUUAAAGUGCUAGGAAUACCAGUCCUUGCAAGUUCAUCUUGGAGAUUUUCAGACAACCCCAAUCUAUAUUGGUAUCUUAAAGCUGCUUCAUUCCAUGAAGUAUCUGCAGCUAAUCUACAAAAAUGAUAAACAUAUUCU